GACGAACGCUGGCGGCGUGCUUAACACAUGCAAGUCGAACGGAGCGAAUGAAAGCUUGCUUUUAUGAGCUUAGUGGCAAACGGGUGAGUAACACGUAGACAACCUGCCGAUCAGAUGGGGACAACAUUCCGAAAGGAAUGCUAAUACCGAAUGGCGUGUAGGGAAGGCAUCUUCCCUACAUGAAAGAUGGCCUCUAUAUAUAAGCUAUCACUGAUCGAUGGGUCUGCGUCUGAUUAGCUAGUAGGUAAGGUAACGGCUUACCUAGGCGACGAUCAGUAGCCGGUCUGAGAGGAUGAACGGCCACAUUGGGACUGAGACACGGCCCAGACUCCUACGGGAGGCAGCAGUGGGGAAUCUUCCGCAAUGGGCGCAAGCCUGACGGAGCAACGCCGCGUGAGUGAAGAAGGUCUUCGGAUCGUAAAGCUCUGUUGAAGGGGACGAACGUACAUAGUGCGAAUAGUGCUGUGUAAGGACCGGACC
RNAcentral lists this ribosomal RNA (480 nucleotides) under Centipeda artemidis. RNAcentral describes it as "bacterial SSU rRNA". It matches the Rfam family "Bacterial small subunit ribosomal RNA", at positions 28 to 479 of the family's 1533-position model. The record is from RNAcentral. Lineage: Bacteria; Bacillati; Bacillota; Negativicutes; Selenomonadales; Selenomonadaceae.